CCGUCCCCAAGCAACGCGUAAGUGCGCCGCCUGGGAGUACGCCGCAAGGCUAAACUCAAAGAAAUUGACGGGGGCCCGCACAAGCAGAGGAGCAUGUGGCUUAAUUCGAUGCAACGCGAAGAACCUUACCUGGGCUUGACAUGCAGCUGCAAGGCCUAUGAAAGUAGGCCGCCUUCGAGGGUGCUGCACAGGUGCUGCAUGGCUGUCGUCAGUUCGUGCCGUGAGGUGUUUGGUUAAGUCCACCAACGAACGCAACCCCUUUGGCGUGUUGCCAGCGGACAAUGCCGGGAACUCGCGCCAGACUGCCUGUUCACGCAGGAGGAAGGUGGGGAUGACGUCAAGUCAGUAUGGCCCUUACGCCCAGGGCUGCACACGUGCUACAAUGGCGCAUACAGAGCGACGCGAUGCCGCGAGGCGGAGCGAACCGCAGAGAGUGCGCCCCAGUUCGGAUCGGGGUCUGCAACCCGACCCCGUGAAGUCGGAUUUGCUAGUAACGGCGCAUCAGCUACGGCGCCGUGAAUGCGUUCCCGGGCCUUGUACACACCGCCCGUCACAUCAUGAAAGCCGUCUGCACCCGAAGUCCGGCAUUAGUCGGCCUAAGGUGUGGGUGGUGAUUGGGAUG
This 622-nucleotide ribosomal RNA is filed under the name uncultured rumen bacterium. RNAcentral's name for it is "bacterial SSU rRNA". It matches the Rfam family "Bacterial small subunit ribosomal RNA", at positions 841 to 1482 of the family's 1533-position model. The record is from RNAcentral.